GCCUCAAUGCACAGAUCAUCCACCAGCUGAGCCCAGGCCUCAGGUCCAAGAUGGCCAUCCAGACCCAGCAGUCCAAGUUUGUGAACUGGCAGGUGGAUGGCGAGUACCGUGGCUCCGACUUCACGGCUGCUGUCACCCUGGGCAACCCAGAUGUCUUGGUGGGUUCAGGAAUCCUUGUGGCCCACUACCUACAGAGCAUCACACCGUGUCUGGCCCUAGGUGGAGAGCUUGUCUACCACCGGCGGCCUGGAGAGGAGGGCACUGUCAUGUCUCUAGCUGGAAAAUACACACUGAACAACUGGUUGGCUACAGUAACGCUGGGCCAGGCAGGCAUGCAUGCGACGUAUUACCACAAAGUACUGGACUGA
RNA transcript from Mastomys coucha (southern multimammate mouse), 368 nucleotides. It is a transcript of the gene named mitochondrial import receptor subunit TOM40 homolog pseudogene, with no coding region annotated. The record is from RefSeq and is a predicted model, not a curated record. The transcript is spliced from 2 exons. Lineage: Eukaryota; Metazoa; Chordata; Mammalia; Rodentia; Muridae.